This 565-nucleotide unclassified non-coding RNA is filed under the name Homo sapiens (human). Its description in RNAcentral is "myomesin 2 (ENSG00000274137.2)". The record is from RNAcentral. Lineage: Eukaryota; Metazoa; Chordata; Mammalia; Primates; Hominidae.
AGAAUCUCUGGAAGACUUUCGGGUGACGCCCAGGUUCCAGGGCCUCCCACCGGUGUGCACGCUUCCGAGAUCAGCAGAAACUAUGUCGUCCUCAGCUGGGAGCCACCCACUCCCCGUGGCAAGGACCCGCUCAUGUACUUCAUUGAGAAGUCGGUGGUGGGGAGCGGCAGCUGGCAGAGAGUCAACGCCCAGACGGCUGUGAGAUCCCCGAGAUAUGCCGUGUUUGACCUCAUGGAAGGGAAGUCUUAUGUGUUCCGAGUGCUGUCAGCAAACCGGCAUGGCCUGAGCGAACCUUCGGAGAUAACGUCCCCCAUUCAGGCCCAGGAUGUGACCGUUGUCCCUUCUGCUCCGGGUCGGGUUCUUGCUUCCCGAAACACCAAGACGUCGGUGGUGGUGCAGUGGGACCGACCUAAGCAUGAGGAGGACCUGCUGGGCUACUACGUGGACUGCUGUGUGGCCGGAACCAACCUCUGGGAGCCCUGCAACCACAAGCCCAUUGGAUACAACAGGUUCGUGGUGCACGGCUUAACCACGGGAGAGCAGUACAUCUUCCGAGUCAAGGCGG